RNAcentral lists this ribosomal RNA (447 nucleotides) under uncultured bacterium. RNAcentral describes it as "bacterial SSU rRNA". It matches the Rfam family "Bacterial small subunit ribosomal RNA", at positions 330 to 793 of the family's 1533-position model. The record is from RNAcentral.
UCCAGACUCCUACGGGAGGCAGCAGUGGGGAAUAUUGGGCAAUGGGCGCAAGCCUGACCCAGCGACGCCGCGUGAGGGAAGACGGUCUUCGGAUUGUAAACCUCUUUCAGCAGGGAAGACAAAAGGACGGUACCUGCAGGAGAAGCCACGGCUAACUACGUGCCAGCAGCCGCGGUAAUACGGAGGAUGCGAGCGUUAUCCGGAUUUAUUGGGUUUAAAGGGUGCGUAGGCGGAAUGCCAAGUCAGCGGUAAAAUCGCGGGGCUCAACCUCGCUCCGCCGUUGAAACUGGCGUUCUUGAGUGGGCGAGAAGUAUGCGGAAUGCGCGGUGUAGCGGUGAAAUGCAUAGAUAUCGCGCAGAACUCCGAUUGCGAAGGCAGCAUGCCGGCUCCACACUGACGCUGAGGCACGAAAGCGUGGGUAUCGAACAGGAUUAGAUACCCCCGUAC